Molecule: ribosomal RNA, 253 nt
Filed under: uncultured bacterium
Lineage: Bacteria
Description: partial 16S ribosomal RNA
Rfam family: Bacterial small subunit ribosomal RNA
Source: RNAcentral
UACGUAGGGUGCAAGCGUUGUCCGGAAUUAUUGGGCGUAAAGAGCUCGUAGGCGGUCUGUUGCGUCGGCUGUGAAAACCCGGGGCUCAACUCCGGGCCUGCAGCCGAUACGGGCAGACUAGAGUUCGGCAGGGGAGACUGGAAUUCCUGGUGUAGCGGUGAAAUGCGCAGAUAUCAGGAGGAACACCGGUGGCGAAGGCGGCAUCCUGGACCAAUUCUGACGCUGAGGAGCGAAAGCCAGGGGAGCAAACGGG